RNAcentral lists this ribosomal RNA (465 nucleotides) under Vreelandella stevensii. Its description in RNAcentral is "partial 16S ribosomal RNA". It matches the Rfam family "Bacterial small subunit ribosomal RNA", at positions 338 to 795 of the family's 1533-position model. The record is from RNAcentral. Lineage: Bacteria; Pseudomonadati; Pseudomonadota; Gammaproteobacteria; Oceanospirillales; Halomonadaceae.
CCUAUGGGUGGCGGCAGUGGGGAAUAUUGGACAAUGGGCGAAAGCCUGAUCCAGCCAUGCCGCGUGUGUGAAGAAGGCCUUCGGGUUGUAAAGCACUUUCAGUGGGGAAGAAAGCCUUGGGGCUAAUACCCUCGAGGAAGGACAUCACCCACAGAAGAAGCACCGGCUAACUCCGUGCCAGCAGCCGCGGUAAUACGGAGGGUGCGAGCGUUAAUCGGAAUUACUGGGCGUAAAGCGCGCGUAGGCGGUCUGAUAAGCCGGUUGUGAAAGCCCCGGGCUCAACCUGGGAACGGCAUCCGGAACUGUCAGGCUAGAGUGCAGGAGAGGAAGGUAGAAUUCCCGGUGUAGCGGUGAAAUGCGUAGAGAUCGGGAGGAAUACCAGUGGCGAAGGCGGCCUUCUGGACUGACACUGACGCUGAGGUGCGAAAGCGUGGGUAGCAAACAGGAUUAGAUACCCCGGUAGUC